GAUGAACGCUAGCGGCAGGCCUAAUACAUGCAAGUCGGACGGGAUUCGGGAGCUUGCUCCUAAUGAGAGUGGCGCACGGGUGCGUAACACGUAUGUAACCUACCUUAAUCAGGGGGAUAGCCUCUCGAAAGAGAGAUUAACACCGCAUAAUAUAUUUUUAUGGCAUCGUAGAAAUAUCAAAUAUUUAUAGGAUUAAGAUGGGCAUGCGGAACAUUAGCUAGUUGGUAAGGUAACGGCUUACCAAGGCUACGAUGUUUAGGGGAUCUGAGAGGAUGACCCCCCACACUGGUACUGAGACACGGACCAGACUCCUACGGGAGGCAGCAGUAAGGAAUAUUGGUCAAUGGGCGCAAGCCUGAACCAGCCAUGCCGCGUGCAGGAAGACGGCCCUAUGGGUUGUAACUGCUUUUGUACCGGAAUAAACCCUUUUACGUGUAAGAGGCUGAAUGUACGGUAAGAAUAAGGAUCGGCUAACUCCGUGCCAGCAGCCGCGGUAA
This 497-nucleotide ribosomal RNA is filed under the name uncultured bacterium. RNAcentral's name for it is "partial 16S ribosomal RNA". It matches the Rfam family "Bacterial small subunit ribosomal RNA", at positions 28 to 523 of the family's 1533-position model. The record is from RNAcentral.